Molecule: ribosomal RNA, 212 nt
Filed under: uncultured bacterium
Lineage: Bacteria
Description: partial 16S ribosomal RNA
Rfam family: Bacterial small subunit ribosomal RNA
Source: RNAcentral
CCAGCAGCCGCGGUAAUUCCUACGGGAGGCAGCAGUGGGGAAUUUUGGACAAUGGGCGAAAGCCUGAUCCAGCCAUGCCGCGUGAGUGAAGAAGGCCUUCGGGUUGUAAAGCUCUUUCAGUCGGAAAGAAACGAUUGUGAUUAAUACUCACAAUUAAUGACGGUACCGACAGAAGAAGCACCGGCUAACUACGUGCCAGCAGCCGCGGUAAU